GAUGAACGCUGGCGGCGUGCUUAACACAUGCAAGUCGAACGGAAAGGCUCCGGCUUGCAGGGGUACUCGAGUGGCGAACGGGUGAGUAACACGUGGGUGAUCUGCCCUGCACUUCGGGAUAAGCCUGGGAAACUGGGUCUAAUACCGGAUAGGACCACAUUUUGGAUGGUGUGGUGGAAAGUUUUUCGGUGUGGGAUGAGCUCGCGGCCUAUCAGCUUGUUGGUGGGGUAAUGGCCUACCAAGGCGUCGACGGGUAGCCGGCCUGAGAGGGUGUACGGCCACAUUGGGACUGAGAUACGGCCCAGACUCCUACGGGAGGCAGCAGUGGGGAAUAUUGCACAAUGGGCGCAAGCCUGAUGCAGCGACGCCGCGUGGGGGAUGACGGCCUUCGGGUUGUAAACUCCUUUCGCUAGGGACGAAGCGCAAGUGACGGUACCUGGAGAAGAAGCACCGGCUAACUAUGUG
This 465-nucleotide ribosomal RNA is filed under the name uncultured bacterium. RNAcentral's name for it is "partial 16S ribosomal RNA". It matches the Rfam family "Bacterial small subunit ribosomal RNA", at positions 28 to 507 of the family's 1533-position model. The record is from RNAcentral.